UGCGGAAGCCUGGUCUCCCCGCUCGGAGCGAGCAGUCUGCGCUUGUGAAGGCGAGGCUCGAGGCCGGCGACAGACCUCUCAGCGACAGAGGGAGGUUAGGCUGGCGGCAGCCGCUGUGUCUGGGGCCCUGUUUGGGAGACGAAAGGCAGAAAGCUGGCCCCAGGCCUCCAUGACGGACUGGCACCUCUCCAGGUACUGGCGGUGUAGCUCCAUGACCUGCUGGGAAAUGUAGUUCGGCUCCAAGUAGCCAACGGGUGACCGCCAGGCCCGGCGGUUGCGACGGGGCAGCCCCACUCCCAUCCCACCCACACGCCACCCCUGCGGCUCGGCCGGAUGUGGGCUGUCUCUCGGACCGGAAGAUCUGCGCGAGGCGGCGGCUGUUUCCUCCAGGGCGUCCAGUGUGGGUCAAAGGACUGCAGAGGCGACGCGGAUCUGGCAGGUGAUAUAAAGGCAGCGAGACAUUCUGACCAGUGUUUGCUCUGCCGCUGAAAACCACCCAGGCUGCUCAAGAUGUGAGCGGGAUCUCCCUGAGGACGUGGAUUUACUCGCAGCCUGACCCCUAGGAGAGUCGAUGGCACAUGGUUUGGAGAGGGCUGGGAGGGCACAACGCCUUUCCAGACACAUGGUCCUCCAGAUGUCCCACCCCUCACCUCCACAUACCGGCCUGCAGAGCAUCGGGCUCUACAUCCAACUUGAACUCAGCUGAACUUAGAACUCUUGAACCGGCGCUUGAACUCAGAACCCGGCGAUCAAAAGUCACAUGCUGUAUGGACUGAGCCAGCCAGGUUCCCUAAACACAUAUUUUGGACACCAUGCCAGGAUGCUGGAGAAAGAAGGGUGAAAAAGGCAUAGGUGUCCUUUGCAGCUCAUGGCCCAGUGUGGGGUUCUAGAAGUCGCUCCAGAGCUAACGCAAGUCGUAUGUGUGGUGAGCUGACUUCUGCCACAGUUAACUGCUUGUCUUUCUGCCUUCUGUCUUUCUGAUUUUUAUCCCCAACUUUUUGUUUUGAAAAAUUUCAAACCUAUGGAAAAGUUGAGAAGAGUUACCUGGAUUCACCAACUGUUCACAUCUUACAGUACUUGGUGAUUCUCUCUCUUACAUACACACAUGCAUGAACUUUUUUUUUCAUUUUUUCCCCCUCUGAACCAUUCGGUAAUGAAUCUCAAACAUUAUCAGAUAUUACUCCAAAUACCAGAUACCCUAAGUACUAAGAACGAGGAUAUAAGGAUACUAUUUUAUUUAUUUUAAUGUUUAUUUAUUUUUUGAGAGAGAGAAUGAGCAGGGGAGGGGCAGAGAGAGAGGGAGACACAGAAUCCAAAGGAGGCUCCAGGCUCUGAGCUGUCAGCGCAGAGCCCAACAUGGGACUCGAACCCGCAAACUCCAAGAUCGUGACCUGAGCCGAAGUCGGAUGCUUAACUGACUGAGCCACCCAGGCGCCCCAAGGAUAUUUUAAAUACUCAGAAUACAGUCAUCACACUCUGCAAAAUUAACAUCAUUAUCAUAGUUUAAUGAAUCCAUCAUCAGAUUUCUUCAGUUGCCAUGGUGAUAAUGUCCUUGACAGCUCUUCCCCCUUCCUGAUCCGGGGCUGAAUCAGAGAUCCUGCAUCACUUUUAGGUGUCACAUCUCUGUAGCCUGCUUGUAUCUAGAACACUCUCACACUUACCCACCUCUUAAAGUUCUGUGAAGACAAUGUUUUUGAAAAGUGCAUUCCAAGCAGAAUGUCCCUCAGUUUAGAUCUGUCUGGGUGUCUCCUUGUUACUAGACUGAGGGUACAUGCAGGCAUCCCCGGGAUGUCUCUAUUUUUUCUUUGUAAUUAAUAAGUAGCCCGAGUGUGUGGAAAUGUCUUUCACCCCAUGAUUUUGGCAUUUGGCGGCAAUCCUUUCCUAAAUCAUUUGCUACAAUGGUAUAUGCAAAGUGGUGACUUUUCUGUCACUUCGUCGUUGUCAUUUGCAAAUCCUGGUUUAAACUUUCUGUCUUUGUCAUGAAAUUUUCGGCUUACAGAUGUUUGGUUGGUAACACAGUUCCCCUCCAACGGUGCGUGCUCUGUACCAGGCACGGCUUGCUUUCUACGCAUGAUCUCCUGGAAUCUCUGCAGCACCCCUUAGGGCAGGAUUCAUCAUCCUCAUUUACAGCCAGGAUUAGUGGUUUAGCGACUUGCCCAGUGACUCAGCCAGGAUUCAAACUCCCUCUUUUAGCCACUUUGCAAUAUUGUCCAUCUGCAUGAUAUUUAUGUAUGUAUGUAUGUAUGUAUGUAUAUAUGUAUGUAUUUAUUGCUUAUUUUUUAGAGAGACGGAGACAGAAUGCGAGUGGGUUAGGGGCAGAGAGAGAGGGAGACA
Molecule: long non-coding RNA, 2334 nt
Organism: Prionailurus viverrinus (fishing cat)
Lineage: Eukaryota; Metazoa; Chordata; Mammalia; Carnivora; Felidae
Exons: 4
Source: RefSeq, a predicted model, not a curated record